Vicugna pacos (alpaca) is the source of this 3048-nucleotide non-coding RNA. NCBI's taxonomy places the organism in Eukaryota, Metazoa, Chordata, Mammalia, Artiodactyla, Camelidae. The record is from RefSeq and is a predicted model, not a curated record.
UGAACCCUUGACCUCACUGGCUCAAUCAGAAAGCUCACCUCAGAAUUCUAGAACUGAAAAGGAGGAAAACCAGGGCUGUAGUAAUAAAGGGCGAUGUUCUGGAGAUCUCAGUCAGGCUUUCUCUGGUGAGAUGGAUGAAGCUGAUGCAGAGGAAGCGAGGAGAGAUGGAAGGGGACCCCAGAAGUGCUGACGAGGAGGAGGGGCAGCUGGUGCCUGGGGGUCGGUCCCCUGCUCCUGUCACGUUAGCUGCCCUGGAGCCCUGGGGUAAGACCUACAUGACAAGGAAGAGUAAGGAAUACACUGAAGACUCGUUUGCAUAGCACACGACCAAGCCAAUAGGAAAGCCAAGACUGCCUUGACUUCUCCUCCUUUCACGUUUAAGGGGAUGCCUCAUUAGUGCCUUAUUUGAUGUAGAUUUUUCAAGCAAAUAGUGGUGGAUUACCUACGAAGCACCUACUCGAGCAGAACUAGACAUUAGCAGCUGCCCGAGCAAGCCUUUGGUGCCCUUUUGAGCAAAUUGAAAUGCGCAGAACUCGGAGAGUUGGGUGAAGAAGGCUGACCUUGAGACGGUGUGAGCAGUUACAGAGAACCUGAAACUCUGGCUUUUCCUACCAGCUUGUCUACUAGAUUAAGAGUGAUAGUAGCAAACAUUUGUCAUAUUGGCAUAUUAUAAUGUACGUCUAGGUCCUCGAGUGAACUGCCGGGGGGAGAAUUUUUCUGGAGACAACUGGGAGCUCUCUCUUCCACGAUCAGGGGUAGAGAGCGAAGGAGAAUGAAAAUCGGAGCAACCCUGCUGCAUAUGUAUUCUCGUGAGCUGCCUAGACAUCAUGCUGUCAUAGGGAACUGAAAAUGAGAAUAGAUUAAGUACAAUUGGUACCUGGGGAUAUCUGGUUCUGUCACUCACUAGAGGAUUAGCUUAAGAAACAACUAACCUCCCUGGGUCUUAGUUUCCUCCUCUGAGCACAAUGAAAAGAUUGGAUGGGUUGAUCUCUUCUAAUAUCACAUUUAUUGACGUUUCAGUAGCUUCCUAGUUCUUAGCUGGUGCCCAGCACAUAGGAAGCCAUUACAGAGCUUCUGAAUAAGGGACUGUUGAGUUAGAUGUAGGGAAACCUGGGGGUGAUCAUGUAAUGCAAGAAAAAACACAAGAAGCUUUAUGUGAUUGAUGAAUAAUACAUACACGGCAUCAAGAAAGAAAGGGUUAUACAUUUCAUAUUUUAGACUGAAUAUUUUCCUUGAUUUCUGUGAGGACUCUGAUGACUGAGAUGAUGGUCUUUAGAGUGAAACCAAAUCACUGAAUUCUGUAAAGUAGCCAAAUAAUCAGUCCUAAAUGGACAGCCUUGGCGUAGGUGAUUCUUGGCAUCUAAAUUCUACAGGGAGGGUAGUGUUGUGGGUUGAAUUGUGUCUUCUUUGAAAAAGUAUGUUGAAAUCCUAAUCCCCAGUACCUGUGAAUUGGAUUCUACUUGGGAAUAGAAUCUUCGUAGAUUUAAUCAAGUUAAAAUCAGGCCAUUAUGAUGGACAUUAACCCAACGUGACUGGUGUCCUUACACGAAGAGGGACAACUGGGCACAGAUGCCCACAGAUAGUGCAGAUGGGCACAGGCAAGUGCUAUGAGAGGGUGGAAGCAGAGACUGGAAUGAAACCUCUACAAGCCAGGGAACACCGAGGAUUGAUGUUAAUCACCAGAAGCUGGGAGAGAGGCAAGAAACAGACUCCCCCCACCAGAGCCUUCAGAAGGAGCCAACCCUGCUGACACCUUGAUUUCAGACUUAAAGCUUCCGGAACUGGAGAGAACACAUUUCUGUUGUACUUUUAAUCUACUCAGUCUUUGUGAUGCCCUAGGAAAUGAACACAGGUAGGAAACAUCUCCCAAGCUAUUCUGUCUUGGAUGAUGAGUUUAAAAUAAGUCCAAGUAAUAGAAGAGAGCUCGAGUGGCCACCUAACUAUUUCUUUCCUAAUCAAGGAAAUCCAAGUUCUGAGAAACCCAAGGAUUGUGGCCUUGAGCUAAAUAUUCUCACUAAUCACCAGAAAAGGAGUCUUUUUUUUCCCUCCUGUGUUUAGAAACUGUCCACAAUCACCCACAGUGUCAACGAUGUGUGAAAUUUGCAACCCUCUGCUUUCUACUAUUCUAGUGAAAAUAAUUUUAAAGUGUAACUAUUUUAAGAUUAAAAGAUAAGCAUCAUGCCUUGUGUCCCAGAUUCAGGGUCUAUGUGUGUAUCUAUGAAGGCAAACAAGAGCAGAUCUCAGUGAGCUCUAGAGAGGAUGCUCAGUGCGGCUGACUCGGUUUCCUAGCAACUACAUGACACUAUUUGUCUCUUGCAUCAAAUGAAAUGGCAGUUGUACCCUGUGCUCCCUGCCCCCUCUUCCACAUUCACCUCCUCCCAAUGAAAUCGGGGGAGCACCUUUGGGAUAUCGAAUCUAUCUAGAUUGCUUGAUAGUUAAAGACAUGAAAGGAAGAAGUAUUAAUUUAUCAGGCAAGUAUUAUACGCUUCAGCACUAGCUAAUAUUGUGCAGAUGCUUCAAAGAAGUAAACAAAAUAUUAAGGUAUGAUCCCUGUCUCCCAGGAGCUUAAAAUGUGGUGAAAAUUGGGAUCGAGAGUGUAGUAGACGCAGGAGUCAGAUCGCCUUGGCCUUGAUCUGACCUUCAUGCAAACUGUAUCUGAAACAUUGGGCAAAUCACACACUCUCUGCUUCAUUUCUUCAUGCAUCAAAUUAUAGUAGCUCCUGCAUAUGCCAGAGGAGUUAUUCGUGUGAAGUCAUGUGCUUAAUCAAUAUCGUCUGUUGUUAUAUUACUGAUAUUACUUGUGAAAUUCCUUUGAGAAGCAAUAUUAACCAACAUAAAAACAAUUCUAGAGAAGACUUGAGAAUAAACACUAUGAAGCAUGAUUGAACCUUGACAUAUGUAGAACUCAUUGCAUGUCUGAUGUCACCAUUUUCAUCUUGAAAGGUUAAGCAAGAACCAGUGUUAUGGGCCAAUAAGGAAGGGCUUACCAAUAGGCUGUGUAGAGAAAGCAGUCUGUCCAGUUAAUUUUUUUCAUCAACUGGGUGGGAA